UACGAAGGGGGCUAGCGUUGUUCGGAAUCACUGGGCGUAAAGGGCGCGUAGGCGGCUUUGUAAGUCGGGGGUGAAAGCCUGUGGCUCAACCACAGAAUUGCCUUCGAUACUGCAUGGCUUGAGACCGGAAGAGGUAAGUGGAACUGCGAGUGUAGAGGUGAAAUUCGUAGAUAUUCGCAAGAACACCAGUGGCGAAGGCGGCUUCCUGGACCGGAACUGACGCUGAGGCGCGAAAGCCAGGGGAGCAAACGGG
This 253-nucleotide ribosomal RNA is filed under the name uncultured bacterium. Its description in RNAcentral is "partial 16S ribosomal RNA". It matches the Rfam family "Bacterial small subunit ribosomal RNA", at positions 524 to 776 of the family's 1533-position model. The record is from RNAcentral.